UUAUCUAGGUUUGGCGCUAAAUAUAUAGCGCAAGUGCGAGCCAAACGGACGGCUUAACAUCGAGCCAGGUGGCAGACAUUUUCCUCGGAGAACGACGGAUCGCUCAGCCCAGGGAGAAACGAAACGGCGGCUCGAAACUCCCGUAGCGAGGAGCUGCAUUUAGCUGAUUACUAAUUAAUAACCUUUGAAUUAGGCCUCUGAAUGGCAGAAAAGGGUUGCAAGCAGGCAUAGAUACGUCCCAAUUAGGAAUCGCGGCAGCACACAAUUUCUUUUCCAUUUCGGCGGACUCUUAUUUUUGGUUAAUUACUCUUAGAGAGCCAUCGAUGACGUAGAAAUCUCCACGUUCCAUUUUGUCGCCAUGUUCCCCUUGCGCACUUAAAGAAGGGAACGAGAAGAGGAGGAACGAAAAGGAGAGGGGAGAAUAAACAAGUCCAGCAGUUGCAAUCGCGGUUUCUUGUUCGGCGGGCGAGCAAAAGUUUUGUCGCGCGGUCUGGCCGUAAUUUGGUGAAUCCGACCAGAGGAAAAUCCGCUGAUCGACGGCGCGGGAAAAACCCCCUUAGUGAGCGAGAAGGCCGGAAAAUAGUGGAGAGAUUUUUUUUGUAUAGCGGAAUAAGUUAUUAUGUAAAUGAAAAGUGGCAGUGCGAAGCAGAGAGGGAAAGACAAGGAAAAGAGUCCAUCAUUUUUUUUAGUGUCCCUUAUGUGCUCCGUCUUCUUCUUCCUUUUUUUGUUUCUUUUGUUCAGUUUUAGCAAGCCUAUGAUUAAGCAAUAAGGCACAGUGGGUCAAAGACCAAUACAGAGAGUGAAAAAAUAUUUAAGUUUCCCACAGGUGCGGCAGACUCCAACGGAAGCGCUUUCGUCGGUGGAACUCCGGAUUGUUGGACUCACGAAACCAGUGGCAGAUUGUGUUUGCCAUGACCGCUGUUGUUUUUUUCAUUGGCAACCUGGUGUACCUAAUUUGGGGCACCACUGAUCAGCAGUCUUGGGAUGCGGAAGACUAUCUGAAGACGAAGGACCCGGAAAACGAACCGAAUGCCCAUCAAAUGGAUUUUAAGCCAAGGCCGGAUUCAGAGGCUAAGGCAGAUAUAAAAGCAAAAUAAUUCGCGAAAGUAAUUUCUGGAACGCAAGGAAGUGCGAAAUGUAAAGCCGAUCUAUCUGGCCAGCAUUGUCUAAAUGCAUAUCGGGCGUAGCGUAUGCCAUUUAAUUAAAAAUUCUUAAAACGUU
Molecule: small RNA, 1221 nt
Filed under: Drosophila yakuba
Lineage: Eukaryota; Metazoa; Arthropoda; Insecta; Diptera; Drosophilidae
Description: GE19437
Source: RNAcentral